AAAAAGACAAACCCUAGGUUUUCGUGUCCAACUUUAACUGUCCGUCUUAUAAGAAUUUUUUUUAUAAUUCGUAUUUUCAUUGUUGUUAGAUGAUAAAACAUGAUUAAUAUUUUAUGUGUGACUUGUCUUUUUAAUUGUUUUUAUAUUUUUUUUAAAUAAGACGGACGGUCAAACGUUAGACACGGAAAUCAGGGUUUGUGUUUGUU
Oryza sativa Indica Group (long-grained rice) is the source of this 206-nucleotide microRNA precursor. It matches the Rfam family "MIR812 microRNA precursor family". The record is from Rfam. Lineage: Eukaryota; Viridiplantae; Streptophyta; Magnoliopsida; Poales; Poaceae.